Argentina anserina (silverweed cinquefoil) is the source of this 1050-nucleotide long non-coding RNA. RefSeq lists it as uncharacterized. NCBI's taxonomy places the organism in Eukaryota, Viridiplantae, Streptophyta, Magnoliopsida, Rosales, Rosaceae. The record is from RefSeq and is a predicted model, not a curated record. The transcript is spliced from 3 exons.
ACAGAUUUUUGAGCUGCUUUUGGAGUUAAAAGCGAUUCUGGGUAUUUUACAUGGUGUUUGGUGAGACACCAAAUUUCUGCUUUUAGGACCUUCCGCUUCACCCAACAGCGGUAUUUGAGAAGCAGCUAAUGGGUUGCUUUCCAAAGCUGAUUUUGGGGAAAACAGGGAGAUGCUACAGUAGCCCUUUAAUGAAAUUUUCAGAUUUCCAGCUUUGUCGUCCUUCUAACCUACCCGUGUAAACUCACCCCAUUCUGGCAUUCUCUCCUUCCCAUUCUCUCUGCCGUCGAAUACCUCAAAGCACAUCGCUAAUCUUAUCACCCAGGCUCGAAGAAUCAGUCAAGACUUAACCCAUCGAUCAAGUUCACUUCAGAUUGUAGAGGGUGUGAAUUUGUAGUUUGGAAAUUUACUGAAUUGAAGCAUGGGUCAUCUGGAAUUCUAGAUUUUAUGAGAAUCAGUUUCGUUUUGGGGGAGGAGAGAAAUAGGGUUGUGUUUAGAUCAAUAUUCAGUAGCUUUUUGGUGUUUCUUUAUGUACUACAGAGAGUUCCAAAUAUCAGGUGUUUGAGACAAAUAUGUGGUUUUGGUUCAUUCUUGCAUAUUCAGAGGAGGAUUUAAGACGGAUACCAGCUCUUCAGGGGAUGGAUUAUCCAACAUGGCCUGAGUUGUAUGCAAUUCAACAAUUAUAAGUAACAAUUGUGUAUGACAGACAAACUUGCAUUUUUCCACUUUGUGUAAGGGCAGCUAUGAUGUGUUUCGUACUUGCAAGGUGCAAUUCUUACCAGUUGUGCGUUAACCUGCACGCAGAAGUAGUAUAUCAACUCUAGUUGUGCUUUAGCAUGGGAGACAUCAUCGAUUGAGUUUUAAGAGGAAUGAAAUUCUUUUUAUAGGUGAUGCUAACAUUCUGAACACCAAUAAAUAGUUAUACUCGUUGAAAUUUAGGUGGGAUUGGUGAGGAUCCAUGGAUGUGUUGGUCUUUACAUAUGUAUAGUGAUGGUGUAUCCGCAUCAUACAGACGUUUUGUGUCAUAUUUUUUUAUGAGCACAUUAUAUAUCA